AAACCAAGCGCCGAGUGUGAUCCGACCUUGCAAAAUCCACUCGAGCCGAAUACAAAGUCCCAGAUCUAGCUACUGUUAUAAUGAUCCUUUUAUUAUAUACCUUUACCAUUUUGAUUCUUGUUUUGUUCUUGAACGAAAUCUUCAAUGUUUAUCGAUAUUAAAUGGAACUUAGUGAAGUUUUUAUGUGCACUUUUUAUAGAAAUGUGUCGGGUCAUGCAUAUUUAUGAAAAUAGUCUGGUAGCAUACAAUACGGAAGGUACAAUACAGAAUUUAAAAGGUACAAUAUGGAAUUUUUGUCUGUUUGUUCAUAUUUAAUUGUGAAAUAUUAGCCGAUUUUUUUACAAAAUUUAUAUAGGUAUAUAAUAAAAGAAAAUUAACUCAGUCAUGUAUACUUUAUGAUUAGAUAAUCUUGAUCACUUGGCAUAUAUAUAUAUAAGCAAUAAACUUAAUACUUUGAUAAGCAUUCAACUAGUUGACAUGUUGUAUUUACAAACAAUUCGUAUGAGAAUAGUCACUUAAAAUAAAAAAGUCAUUUCAGUAUUUAAACUGAGAACUGCUCAGAUGACAUUGAAUUAGGAACACUUACUGUGGUGACAAAUAGGCAGAUGUACAUGGUAAGAGUUUGUUUCCAGUAGUAACAUUUUCUAUAACCAUAACGGAUGCUUAAGGGGACUUUUAGAUCCUGCUAAGAAUUCGAGGGAUACCAGUAGAUGCUAAGUGCUCGAGCAUAGCAACUGAAGAAUAAGGUGUAUUACGUAUAAAAGUAUGGGAUAUAUUUUGAAGUUUCACCGAAAUCGUUAUCAAAAGCUUUCUACAAGCAUGCCAGUGGAAGUAGGACAAAGAUUAAUAUCUGGAAAUAGAUUUUAUUUUAAAAUUUCAACCAAUGUUUAUUUUUAUUAGGAGGCUUGUGGUGCAGCUGAUACAGCAGACAUAGAGUUUAUAGACAUAUCAGCUCCUCAGAGAAGACAGUUUAGUUUGCGUAGAGUGUCUCCUUCAGCCACAGUAAUAUACAGUGAAUCAGCUGAUAUGUCGGGAAGUAUUAACAACCACUCUAUAGAACCUGAUGCCGUCACAGUAGAAGAUCAGUCUUCCAACCAGACAAAUGAUGCUAUGUCAGCGGAAGAGUAUUUCGGACAAGAUGACAUCCAGUUGGCCAUUGAAGAAAGUUUGUUAAGUAUUUGUAAUAGCAAUAAAGAAGAGUAAGACAGCUCACUGUUGAAGAAAUGGGUUGACAAAGCACUACAACCCUCAGAGCCACAAACAAUAGUUGUUCAGUGGGAGAGGCUGUUACAAACGACGUUAAGAGUUGUUGGUAAAUCGACUUUCAACUGGUCACAGCCGCUUCGAAUAGUAUUCUCUGGUGAAGAUGGAGAUGACCAAGGAGGUCCUAAGUGAGAAUAUCUCUGGUUGCUGAGCAAAGCUGUUGCUGAGGCUUCCUUGUGUGGCCCUGAGGGAAACAUGAUCUUCGUCCAUGAUGGUGAAAAGCUUGAGCGCAUGACAUAUGAAAUAUAUGGUAAAUUGACAGCAUACAAUGUCUUUAAUGGUGGACCAGGCCUACCGAUGAUCAACACCUUCCUGUACUCCUUCAUGACUGAUCAGGGCAUAAAACCCCAUGUAGACAUUCUUACGCUUUCCCAGACUGAGGAAAUUUCUCGCAUGAAGGAGAUUCCAUGCUGAAAUUAACCAACUUGUUAAUGGACUGGAUAAAGUGGGUUCGUUGCACAAAGAGAUCCUCCAUGCAUUUGAAGCAUUUUCUAGUCUGUUUGUUCACCAAGCUGUUCAUCUAAAGUUUGACACAUUCAGAUUAUUGUAUGAAGUGAACUUCAGUCCAGAGGGUUCCAAUAACCAAAAGUUGGCGAAGGAUACAGUAUACUGCUUGGAGGCAUUCUUGAUUGAAUGUGAUGGUAAAGAAAGUGACAUAGCCUUGGCAGAUGUACUGAUGUUUUGGACAGGAGCAAGUUCUGUGCAUGCCCCCCACCCCCAAUGGGGUUUGACAAAAAACUUGAAGUGGACUUUGUUACGUCUGACAGAAAACUGCCUGUAGCCCAUACCUGUGGCAUGGUUUUAGAACUUGUGCGUGGGUUAGCUGAUCCAGAUUUAUUCAAGGAGGAUAUGGUGAAACCUAUUAAGUGGAGUGGAGGAUUCCACUUAUGUUAAAUGCAUCAGUGUACAAUCAGUUCUGAAGCCAUCUAUUAGUUUACAAUCAAACGGUUGCAAUACUUGAACUCAAGAUUCUACCAACUGCUCUUGUUUCAGGCCAGUAUGCAACAUUUAAAGGUUUAGGUCAUCGGAUCACCACAAUACUUAAGUAAAGGAAUGGCACAUAGCACAUCAUAAAGCAUGUUAUAAUCCUCAUUAUAGUUAUGAAUGAACAUUCUUCUGUCGUUUCAUGCCGUAUGCUGUAAAUCUUACUAUUUUGUUUGCUUUUGUUUUAGAUAGGCUCACACACACACUUAGUUAAAUACCUUUAUGUUCUGUAGUGCAUGCAAUUGAAAACUUUACACUAUCCCAUACUGUAGGUAGAAUUGCAUACUUCAUGGAAAUUUUAGUUAUUAUGUGGCAUGAAAAUUGAGUUUGUUGCUACAUAUCACUAACACUUGGGAACCUUUUUCAAAGUCAAGGUUAAAGCUUUUGAGGCAGGAUAGCAUAUGUCAUCAUACCCCAACAAACAAAGUUUGAGGAUAGGGUACAUGUAUAUAGGAGUUGCCUCAAUUGUUGAUCAGUCUGUUGGUCAGUUAGCAAGAAUUAUGUUGAGUGAACUAUACUGGAUAUUCCAUAAGAUAUUGACUUAAAACUUCGUAUACAGGAUCAUAAUUGAGUGGAGAUGUGCAUGAUACAAUUUGGUGUGAUUCAGCUUAUUCCUGGUAUAGUUGCCCUUGGAUUUAAUUAAAAUAACUAUAGAGCAAUUAUAUAAAUCUUGUGAACUUAGCUGAAAUCAGUAUAUUAGCAUAAGCCAUAUUGUGGGACAAACCACUUUUACUUUUUUUCAGAAUUUUGACUUUUAAACUCUGUAUAUUUGAUCACCAUCAAGUGUAUAUCUUCCUGCACAUGUUUGUUGCGGCUUUGUUUUUGGGGGCAAUGACCCCAGAGUUAACAAACCGUCUUUCAACUUUCUUGUCGAGCUUAUGACCAACCUGACAACACAGAAAACAAGUUCCAAAGUAUUUACCAAACAUAACUUUCAUAUUGCAUUUUGCAAUUAUAUUUUGAUCCAGACAUGAUUAAAUAGAUCUACACAUUUUAUAUUAACAACAGUAUGUGAAGAAAACUAAACUGCAUUAUAAAUAUAAAUUAUAAUAACUCUUCUUAUGCGUAGGAAUAAUAAAGACGCUUGAUUUGAUCACGUGAUCGAUUCUAAAACCGACACUUGUUUUGAUCAUGUGACCUAUUCUGAAAUCCAAUAACUAGUUUAAAAAAAAAUGUGUUCAUGAUUCUGCGUGAAAAUAGCAACUACUAUGACAUUGCAACGCCACUGAUAAGCCGGUAGAUUAUUGAUUUUUUUUCAUCGCCGUGCCUCGACACUGUUGUGGAUGUGUAUUGAGAAACUUUAUCAGUUUGCGGCGGUCAGUACCGUUUAUCAGUAGGCGAAUCUAUAAAUAUGCGGCAACACCCUAUAGAUCCCGAUUCGCAAUCUGUUAAAAUAUCUCUUCUGUGCAGGUGUUUUUUCUAAAAUAUUAUUUCAGAAAAUACAGUGCUGAAAUGAAAUACUUUUCGCAUGUCUAAGAAAAUAUUUUCAAGAGAUAUGUUAUUUAUAAAAAUUAAUA
Molecule: long non-coding RNA, 3764 nt
Organism: Mercenaria mercenaria
Lineage: Eukaryota; Metazoa; Mollusca; Bivalvia; Venerida; Veneridae
Exons: 6
Source: RefSeq, a predicted model, not a curated record